UCCCUGAUGGUCCAUCGGUCAGUACAUCCGGUGUGAUUCAGGUUGGACGUCGGUACCGUUCGCACUGGGUUCGACUCCCAGUCAGGGAA
This is a non-coding RNA of Paramarasmius palmivorus, 89 nucleotides long. The record is from the annotation of a GenBank genome assembly. NCBI's taxonomy places the organism in Eukaryota, Fungi, Basidiomycota, Agaricomycetes, Agaricales, Marasmiaceae.